RNAcentral lists this ribosomal RNA (417 nucleotides) under Triticum aestivum (bread wheat). RNAcentral's name for it is "partial small subunit ribosomal RNA". Lineage: Eukaryota; Viridiplantae; Streptophyta; Magnoliopsida; Poales; Poaceae. The record is from RNAcentral.
AUGACGGUGCGGCCCUCGCCGAGGAUGAAAGGCAGGGUACAAACUGAUGACAUUGGACUUGGGUCGCUGCUUGGAGGCAUGCCACCAGAGCGUGGCGCCGGAGAAGUCGUCGGUGACCCCCUCGUGGUCGUCGAUGGAGACCUGGAUGUUCUUGCUGUCCUUGCCGAGCUCGGCUUUGAGCCUGCGCGCGCGACGGGCACAUGCGUCGCUCAGGUAGGCCUCGACGGCAAGGAAGAGCUCGCUUCGCUUCCAGCGCUGGGCGCCGUUCUCCGAGAUGGUGAUGUUGAGCCUAAGCACGCAUCGCCGCUGCGGUCGCCAUCGGAGCAGGUUAGGAGGAGUUAUCGCCUUAUCGGAGCUGAGAAGAAGCAGGCGAGCAUCGACAUCGAUCGACCAGUCCACGGAAGUGGAAUUGCUUAA